CUGGCGGCGUGCCUAACACAUGCAAGUCUGAGGAGAAUGGGAUUCUUCGGAUUCCCUAGUAAACUGGCGAAAGGGUGAGUAACGCGUAGGCAACCUACCCUGCAGCGGGGAAUAACACCGGGAAACUGGUGCUAAUACCGCAUAACAUCCCGGGAUCACAUGGUUCCGGUAUCAAAGAUUGCUUCGACUUGUCGAAGCGUCACUGUAGGAUGGGCCUGCGACCUAUUAGUUUGUUGGUAGGGUAACGGCCUACCAAGGCUACGAUGGGUAGCUGGUCUGAGAGGAUGAUCAGCCACACUGGCACUGAGACACGGGCCAGACUCCUACGGGAGGCAGCAGUGAGGAAUAUUGGGCAAUGGGCGCAAGCCUGACCCAGCAACGCCGCGUGAGUGAUGAAGUUCCGAGGAACGUAAAGCUCUGUUAGGAGGGAAGAAUGUCCGACUUGUCGGAAGUGACUGUACCUCCAAAGAAAGCUCCGGCUAACUCCGUGCCAGCCGCAGC
Molecule: ribosomal RNA, 501 nt
Filed under: uncultured bacterium
Lineage: Bacteria
Description: bacterial SSU rRNA
Rfam family: Bacterial small subunit ribosomal RNA
Source: RNAcentral